Molecule: long non-coding RNA, 13752 nt
Organism: Acinonyx jubatus (cheetah)
Lineage: Eukaryota; Metazoa; Chordata; Mammalia; Carnivora; Felidae
Exons: 6
Source: RefSeq, a predicted model, not a curated record
GAUCUGGAUAUCUGUUUCUUUCCCCAUUUUAGGGAAGUUUUCAAGCAUUAUUUCUUUGAAAAAGCCUUCUGAUCCUUGUUUCUAUCUCUUCUUUUUCUGAGACAUCUAUAAUGUGUAUUAUUGGUCACAUUGCUUGUGUUUCCUAAGUCUGUUAAGCUAUCUUCACUUUUUCAAUAAUUUUCUACUCUGACCGGAUAAAUUACCGUUUCCUCAAUUUUGCUAAUUUUUCUUUCACUUGUUUUAGUCUACUUUUAGACCCUUCUAUAUGUAGUUUUUUAGUUUAGUUAUUGUAUUCUUUAGCUUUGUGAAUUUAGUUUGCUACUUUUUUGUUUACAGUUUUUGAGGUAUACCUACAUACAAUGUUACAUUAGUCUUAGAUGUACAACAGAGUGAUUUGACAAUGCUGUACAUUAUGUAGUGCUCACUACAGGAAGUGUAGUUAACCAUCUAUCACCAUACAAAAUUAUUGCAAGAUUAUUGACUAUAUAUUUCCUAUGCUGUACUUUUACUAGUGACUUAUUUUAUAACUGAAUAUUUGUACCUUUUAAUCUCUUUAACCUGUUUAGCUCAUCCCCCAACCCUCUCCUCUGGCAAUCAUCAGUUCUCUGUAUUUAUGAGACUAUUUCUGUCUAUGUGUGUGGGGUGUGUGUGUAUGUGUGUUCAUUUCUUUUGCUUUUUGGAUCACACAUAUAAGUGAAAUCAUAUGGUAUUUUUCUUCCUUUGAUUUAUUUCACUUAUAAUACCCUCUAGGUACAUCUGUGUUGUUGUGAAUGGCUAGAUUUCAUUCUUUUUUACAACUGAGUAACAUUCUAUUGUAUAUGCAUGACACAUCAUCGUUAUCCAUUAAUCUGCUUGAUACAUUAAAGAAAAAAAAAAUUAGGGGCCUCUGGCUGGCUCAGUCAGUAGAGAGUGAGACUACUGAUCUCAGGUUGUAGGUGCAAACCACACAUUAGGUGUAGAGAUUACUUAAGAAUAAAAUAUUUUAAAAAUUUUUACUAUCUCUGUUGAAAUUUUCACUUUGUUUAUGCAUUGCUCUCCUGACCUUGGUGAAUAUGUCUGUGAUCAUUAUUUUGAACUCUCUUAUCAGAUAAAUAACUUACCUUUUAAUUAGAUUUGUUAACAUUAAUUAGAUUUAUUAGACAGAAUAGUCUCUUCUAGAUGAACCUCAUUGAUCAAUUCAGCCUAAGUUCCUAGUUAUCUUUCAAAGCUUUGUGAUGUCCAAGCCUUCUUUGUGGCUCUCAUUAGUCGUGGAUGUAGCAAGACUCAUCAGUGUCUGUACCAAAGGGGAGGAUCACAAUCAGCACCUAAUUACAGGCUGAUUAGAACCUUGCAUCUUAGGCAGCAGGUGGGAAACUAUAUAGUUAAACAACUUCCAGAGGUUAACCUGUGAUAUGGACUUUUUUGUCUGUUCCCUUGGAUGUGGGCCUGGAUAUAUGGCCAUUGGAGUGUGCUCCUAAACCAUUAAAAACUACUUUGCAAAGUCCUGUGGAACUUGUGAAUGCAAGCCCUCUUGGCUGUUAGAGCCAGGUGAUCUUGCGGCCUGUCCCUCAGGUGACUGCUACAAAAACUGGGGCACCAGAUAUGUGUAGAAAGUUCUUCCAGGGAUAUAAUGGUAAUUUGGUUUUAUUAUUGGAGUGGGAUAAAGGGAGAAGGUGUGAGAUGUGUCCACCCACUUCCUUGUCCUCUGUGGAAGAUUUCAGCCAGAUUCUAGAUGUUUGCCAGAUUAGAAGCCUGGCCCCCAGGCAGCAACUUUUAUAGUAUUCAGAUAAACCUCUUAUGGGAAAGCUAGGGAAAUGGGCAAUUUUAUUUUCUCCUUAUGAACUGAUAUCUGAUGGGAUAGCCUCUUAGAAAUUGCUUAUUUGUUUGCUACAGGCCUGUGGGACUUGUGAAUGGAAACCCUUUUAGCUAUGGAGUCAGACUGACCCUCAGUUCACAGCUAUGAAAGCUCACUAGACUAGUGAGAGGAGGCAGUGGUGUCUACUUCCCAGUCUGUGGGAAAGAUGAUGGCCAACCCCUAGAGCAUACUAAAUUAGAUGACUGGCCUUUAGGCAGCAACUUUCAAAUAAUGCAGGGAAGUCUUUUUUCAGAGAAAAACUGUGAGAUGGGCAAUUUCGCCUGUUUUCUCCUGGGCUGAUUCCUGGAUUGAUAGCCCUGAUGAAUGAAUGCUUGCAUGCCUGGUAAGAAUUACUUCUUUGUUUGCUAUACUCUUGUGAGGUUUUUGGAUGCAAGCUUCCUUGGCUUUUAGAGCUAGGGGUUUUGUAAACCCAACCCUCUCUCUGGUGGGAGUCUUAAAAGUUGGGGUGCUAGAUAUAAGGUUCAAGCCCUUUGCUAUUCAGGAAGUAGCUAGAAGUUGGGGGUUGCUUAAUGAUUGAUUGUUAUCCUUGGGGUUUGUUUAUGGUGACAGUGUGUCUCCGCCUGUACUACCUGUUUCCGUGUGGCGAGUUUCUCAUUUGUCCAACGUGUAGGAGUAGCUAGCUAGUUUCUAGAUCUCUUUCAGAGGAAAUUGCCCAAUAUAUAGCUAUACAUUCAGUCUGUCUGAGAAAGGAGAUAAGCUCAGGAGUCUCCUGAGUCAAAUCUUGACUGGUUCUCAAUAGUUUGAAUUGUGGUUCUCAGUCAACAUUUUUGCCUUUGCUCUAACAUUAUUUUUUUUUCCAAAUUCAAAGUAUUUUCUUCAAUAGUAUUUUUAAUAACGCAAGUUUAUUUGACCUUGGUAAAAUGCCUUACUUUAAUGACAGUAAAAAUAUUUACUUCUGCCAGAUCUUUUCCUCAGGUGUGAAAUCAUUAUUCAGGAGUUGUAUUUUAGUUCUUUGUGGACUUAGUCUUUCAUAUAAGGAUUGCUUAACUUUAAAACAGAACUAAAUUAAGAACAUAUAAUAGUGGAAUAUCAGAGAAAAUUUCAUUAGCUACACAAAUACAUAUGUCCUUCACUGUUUUUUUUUUCUUUAAAUAUAUUUUAGUUUAUUGAUUUCCAAUUUUUAUUAUGGUUAUUAAACAUAUUCUCUAUUAGUUGAAUGAUUUUUGAGACUUGGUUUUUGGCCUAAUAUGUGGUUGAUCUUGGUAAAUUUGAACAAAGUACAGUUGUUCUAAAAUCCUUGGCUAUAGUGUUUUAUAAAUGUCCAUUAGGAGAGGGUUGGUGGUGGUCACAUCUUCCAUGACUGAUAUUUUAUCUUGUACUAUAAAUUACUGAAAGAGUUGAAGUUAAAUUCAUCAGUUAUGAUUGUGAAUUUGUGUUCUACUUCAUGUCUUUUGGUUUCAUUUCACAUAAUUUGAAACUUUUAUUAGUCACAAACAUUCAUGAUUAUUAAUGUAUUCCUUAUAAUUUGACCCUCUUAUAUUAUAAAAUGUCUCUAUCUCUGGUAACAUAGUCUUGAAAUUUAUCUGAAAUCAAUAUAGCCACUCUAGCCUUCUUAUGCUUCCUGUUUGUAUGGAAAUCUUAUCUUUUUUUUUUUAGCCUGUAUGUUUAUAUGUAAAGCUUUGUCAUUUUAGAUGGCAUAUAGUUAGUAUAUGUUUUAAGCUUUAGCAGUUGGAUUAGUUAUUAAAUUUACAUUUAAUUUUUGAAACAAUAGAUUAAUAUCUACCAUUUUUAUCAUUUAUUUUUAAGUCUGAACUCUCCUGCAUUGUCUCUCUCCUGUUUGUUUUUGUUGUUGUUGUUGUUGUUGUUCUUUUGUUUCCUCUUUCCUACGUUCUUUGGUUGUUUGAAUUUCUUUUUCAGAAUUCCAUCUUUUUUUACCUUUUUAACUCUACCUCUUUAUAUAUUUUAGGGAGUAUUCUAAUGAUUAAGAUAUAGAUAUUUAAUUGUUUGCAAUAUUUUGAGACUAAAUCUUAUAUUACUUUACAAAACACAAGAAUCUUGCAACCAUAUAUGUCCAUUUUCCUAGUCUCUGACCCUUUUUAUGCUAGUUGUCAGAUAUCACAUGCGCCAUUAAUCCUACAGCCAAUGGUAAAAUUGUUCUAAGUAGGUAUAUUUUUGAAAACAUCAUUUUCAAACAAAGUUCAAAACAUUUUCAAAACAAAAAUUCUAUUUAUUUAUUAACCAGUUCCAGUGGUCUUCUAUCCUGAAGAUCCAUGUUGCCUGCUGUUAUUAUUAUCUGCCUUCCCAAUGAAAUUUCUUUAGCACUAGCACUACUGGUGAUAAUCUUUCUCUGUUUUCUUCUAUGUCAUAGGUUUCUUCUAUCUGAGAAUGUCUUUAUUUAGCAUUAAAAAUUUUUUUUUAAGUUUGUUUAGUUUUGAGAGAGAGACAGUGAGCAGGGAGGGGCAGAGAGAGGGGGAAACACAGAAUCUGAAGCAGGCUCCAGGCUCUGCGCUCUCAGCACAGAGCCCAAUGCAGGGCUUGAACUCAAGAACUGGAAGAUCAUAACCUGAACCGAAGUCAGAUGCUCAAUUGAACCACCCAGGUGCCCCUUUAUUUAGCAUUUUUUAAGCAUUCUUUAGUGAGGUAUAUUGUUACUGAAUAUAGAAUUAUGGUUUGACUUUUUUAUCCCUAGAAUUUUAAAGAUAAUAUUAAAGACAAUAUUGCAUAUUUUUUAAAUUUUUUAUUUAUUUGUUUUUUAACAUUCACUUUUGAGAGAGAGAGACAGCAUGUGUGGGGGAGGGGCAGAGAGAGAGUCCAGUUGCAGAAUUGAAAGCAGGCUCCAGGCUCUGAGCUGUCAGCACAGAGCCCAACAUGGGGCUCAAACCCAUGAACUGUGAGGUCAUGACCUGAUCCAAAGUCAGACCCUUAACCAACUGAGCCACGCAGGCACCCCUGUUUUUUUUAAUGUUUGUGUAUUUUUGAGAGAGAGAAAGAGAGUGAGCAUAGGUGGGGGAGGGGCAGACAGAGGAAGACACAGAAUAUGAAGCGGGGUCCUGGCUCUGAGCUUUCAGUGUGGAGCCGGCCGAUGGGCUCAAACUCACAAACUGAGAUCAUGACCUGAGCUGAAGUCAGAUGCUUAACCAAUGAGCCACCUAGGUGCCCGUUGCAUAAUUUUUUCAUUGAAUAUAACCACUUUCUUUGGAUUGCAGAAACAAAACUUUGGCUAACAAAGCAGGAUUUGAUACUUUAACAAAGGUUAUUUCUGAAGAGCUCUUAACAGUUUUAUUUGUCUUCCUCUCUGUUUCUCUUUCACAGUUUUGAUAAAAUGAGCUCCUUUGGCAGGGAAUAUAUAUAUAUAUAUAUAUAUAUAUUCUUAUACACAACGUUUUAUAUAAUAUAAUCAUACCAUGUUUUUCAAUGACUGGUUUAGCUUUCAUAUUUACAGUGAAAAAGUAAGAGAGUGUGUGGAUGAUUAUGUUAAGGAGAAAAACCAAGAGAAAGUGAUUAGGGUGAAUUGAUGAUAGAAAUAUCAUUUCAUUUAAUUAAUUGGUAACCCUACCAUUAUGGUCAGAGAAUAGAAAUAUGGAAUAUUUUGUGUAGUGUACACUAUUAUUAACAUUUUAUGUGACUUCUCUUACUGUAGAAUUAAUCUACUCUUGAAAUACCAUCUUUUUAUUGAAGAUAAGUGGGACAUAGGCAUGUUACAACUUGUGAAUUUGGGAAAUAUAAAAUUUUAUUUGAAUGGCAUUUUUUUGUCACUUUGGCAUGACUCCCACAUGUCAACCCCAUGACAAUCAUUCAAGAAAGUAAAGCUGUUGCAGUUUUUGCCAUGCAUACCAUCAAAACAUAUGAUUAUUCUAUGAUGUUAUGAGAAAUUUAGAAAUAAAAUUCCAGUGGACAUGUAAGAUAAAUAUUCCAUGUUUUUGUGGAAACAAAUGCUCAGGCUUGAGCAACACUAUGAUGUUGUUAUGUCUUAUGUUAAUGAUUCUUAAAUUCUGCCCAAUUCUACUUUUAUCUCUCAUCCAUCUAUCUACCUAUCGAUUUAUUUUCCAUAAUCUGUCUGUAGUAUAUCUUGACCUAUCAAUAAUCUAUCAUCCAUCUUACUCCAUCUUACUUGUUUACCUAUCAUCUAUCUAUGUAUCUGCCUGUCUAUAUAUCUUUUUUUAAAUGUUUAUUUAUUUUGAGAGAGAGACAGAGAGAUAGUGUGAGUGGUGGAGGGGCAGAGAGAGAGGGAGACACAGAAUCCAGGCUCUAAGUUGUCAGCACAGAGCCUGAUCCAGGGAUCUAACUCAUGAACUGUGAGAUGCUAACCUGAGCUGAAGUCAGACACUCAACCCACUGAGCCACCUGGGCACCCCUGCCUGUCUAUGUAUCUAAUGGCAGGAUGGAUAUAUAGUUAUAAGAGGCAGAAGAACAUAGAAAUGGAGGACCAAGGGAGUUACUUUGCAUGUGUGUGGACAGUGGUAACAGUGGUCUCUUUGGUGAUGAUGUACAGAAAGAGAAAGCAAAAAGAAAGCAUGACUACUGAGGGCCAUUAAGUCAGAGACCUACCCAGAAAGAAUUCUGGCCUUAUUACUAUACUUGAUUUCAGAAAAUCAGAACAAAGCUUCCUCAUCCUAUAGGCUGGAAAUGGGAAAAUUUAAACUAAAUAUAAUGACUCUGCUUUUCCUGCCUUCCAUAUUUUAAUAAUCAAGUUUUAAUUACUUGGAAUUAUUGCCUCAGUCUGUAUUAUACUAGACCAUGAAUUGGCAAAUCUUUUCUGUAAAGGAUCAAAUGACAGUUUUACUUUUUCAGGCUGUAUAAUCUCUGUUGCAAUUAAUCCAUCCUGCUGUUGUAGUAUGAAAGCAGAUAAACACAGUGUGUAAUUGAAUAAGUGUUGCCAUAUUCCAGUAAAACUGUUUACAACAGCAGCCUAUGGGCUUGAAUUACCAAUUCCUGAACUAUAGCAUUGGUUAAACAAGAACCUGAACUAUGAUCAGAUUAACUCAGACACAUAGUAAAAAUAUCUAAGAAUUACUUCUCCAUUUUAUUUUCAUUAAAAUUAUUUUCUCUCCUUUGCCAUAUUUUCUUCACAAGAGAGUCCUAUGAAUGUUACAUUCCACCAUAAUCUAAACAAUGUAAAACCAGCACUGUAUAAAGAAUUAGAGUGACAUGAACUCCUUUCCUGUUAUAACCAAUAAAUUAUAUUUCAAAAUUGAAUGUAUUUCUCUCAUAUUCCAUCUGUAAGUUUGCCAAGGAAUUUGUGACCAAAAUCUUGCCUGAUUUCUUUUCUCCUUCAGCAUAGUUUGAAUCAAAAUGGUAUCUCUGAGCUUUCUUCAUUGUAUCCAGCCUCCUUAUGCAAUGACUUUAGUCUAUUCUGAUUUCAUCUGAGCAGUUGUAAUUGUUUCAGCAUCCCAGAACAGGAUUCAUAUAUUCUAAAUCUAUUAUUUAACCUAGUUUAUAAAACUUGAAAUAGUCAACAGUACACGUUUUCCAAGUUUACUCUUGUUUUCUCAUGUUAAUUGCAUGGAGGGGUUAGACGAGAAAAAGUCUCUAAAAUCUGGUAACUUAAAAUUAUAGUUGGGCUAUUUCUGUUUUUGAAGUCAAAUAAAAUAUAUAUUUACUUAAAAUUUAUAUGACCAAUUUUGUGUUAAUAUUCUAUGAAAGCCUCACUCAGAUAAGCAUCCCAGUACAUAAUUGGGAUAUAGAUAGGAAUAAUUCAGAAAAGAUAAGCAUUGUGAAUGGCCAAGAGCAUAUAAUAUGCUCAACCAUACCAAUCUUUAUAACAAAUAUAUAUGAAGUAAUUAUAAAGUAUUAUAAAUAUAUAAUAAAAUUAAAUGUAUUUUUGCACAUACACACACACACACACACACACCCAUAAUGCAAUAAGUCAUCAAUUGUCUUUUUUCACCUAUCAGAUUAAAGUUAUAUCUGUUAACCAACCAUGGAAAAUUUGGCAGUCCUGGUGUUUUAUAAUCUUUCCAGGGGACAGUGGAAAAUAGAUGGAAAUUAGCACAUUUUGGCUAACAAUUUUAUUUUUAAAAAUUUACUUAAGUGUUCAAAGAUGUAUGUAAACUCAAGGAUAAUCAUUACAGCCUUAGUUGUACUUGUAAAAUUGUUAGUAACCUGUUUAUCUAAAGUCAUGAUUUUAAGUAAAUUAAUGUUGAUACAUUUAUUCAACUUGUUUAUAUUCUAUUCUAUCUGGUAAUGUAUGUUUAAAUUAAUUGGUGUGAAAACCCAGGCUUUAUAUACCCAUUAUUGAGUACCAAGUAUGUUUGAGGCAAUAACAUUGUAUUUCAUUCUUGUAAAAUGAUAUACAAAUGUGAUUGUGCAGAUACGGUCAAUAAACCAAUUUUAUAGGAAGAAUAUUUUAAAAUGUUGAUAAUGAGUUCUGGUCAUUAUUUUGCUAUUUCAUUUUUGUGUUUGUGUGUGUGCGUGUGUGUGGUUUCAAAUACAUGUAUUUCAAUUACAAAUAGCAUUUAUUGAGUUGUUAGUGUAGGUACCAAAUGCCAAGAUAAAUGCUUUCAUGAACUAUCUCAAUGCUAAUAGUAAUUGUACAGAUAUUUAUUACUUUUUAAAAAAUAAAAUAGAAACAGUCUGUGCUAGAAACUGAGGCUGAUUGUGUAAAUAGGCUGUGUUUGAUUAUGUGAUUCAUACUAUUACUUUCAACUUAAAAAAAAAAAAAACACAACCCUAUGGUAUAACAGCCAUUGGAAGAUAAUUAAAAAUGCUUGUAUUUUGCCUAAUCUGUUGAGUAAAACAAUGUUUUGGGGAAGAAUGCAUAUUUCUGAGGUUAUAUUCAUUUUCCCUGUGUUUUUAAGGUCAGAGCCAUAAGAAUUUUCCAGUGCAAUUCCUCAUGCUAAAAAGUAUAAGUAUUGAGAUAUUGUAAGAAUAGGAGAAAAUUAUGCCAAGAUAUUGGUUUGUGGAAAAUUCCAUGGUGUAAAGCUACAGACAAUGAUCUCUGGAAAUAUGGGGAGGCAUUGCUUAGGAGAUGGGAUACUGUCUUCCUCAGCAGAAACCACUUCAUAGAUAGAGCUCUGGGAUCCCAUGGGAGCACAGUUCAAAGUACAAACCAAUGGCCAACAGGAAGAGUGUCACUAAAUGGAAGAAACCACCUUUGGAAGAGAUAUAAUGAUAGGCAAUAUCCAAACAUAAAUACUGCAGAUAGUAGGGGGAAAGCCAGUGAGGAUCUCAGAGUGAAGAAACAAUCCCCAACUGAUAGAAACUUAAAUGUUAUAAUCUCAUAUUGGAAUAUUUUGUGUGUGUAAUUUAUGACCAUAUAGUCUGGAUUCUAAACUAUCUCCUUUGACUAUAUGUUUCAUAAUCAGUUCACUUUCCCCCAGUUAUCUCCAUUCAUUCUAACCCUUUUCUAAAGUGCACACUUCGUGUUUUGCAAGUAUAAUUAUCAACUCAUAGCUAAUAGCUAAAAUGUUGGCCAAAAUAAUAAAGAGAAUUGUGACAAAUUCUGCCUGACUAUGCCACAACAGUGGCUAGAUUAUGUUUAGAAAAAUUGGUUUAUAGUUUCUAACUUUGCCUUUUUAUCUUCUGGUAUUUUGAGGGGAAAUGGACUACUUAAGAUACUCCCAGCUGGGGCUCUGGAACAUCGUGGAAACCGAAGGAGGAGUAGAAGUACAGAAGGAGAAAGCUUUCAUAGAUGGGUCAAAGACUGGAACAACUUACCAUACUUCAGAGAAAAGAGAUGAACAGCUAUUUUGAUGCUUUUGAAAUCACACAGGAUUUGUGGCCAUUGAUGUCAGAAAUUUGGGAUUCUAGGCUCAUUAUUUCAGAGGCCCAAGGUAGAAUAUUUUUAUAAUAGGUUUCUCCCCCACUAGUGCCUAGUUUCUUAAAUAUUCAUUAUUAUUAAUUUCCUUCAUUAAGUAAAAAAAAAUCUCUUUGAAGUAACCUGAAUAAUCUCAGGGAAUCAUUGAUAUAUAUGCAAAUUAUCUUGUAGAGAUAAUUAAAUGUGCCAAAAUAUUUAUUUAUCUUUUUAUUACUGGAAAAUCAAGAGUAUUUUCCAAAUGUUUCUACUCAUAUUCUACUAUAAUCACACCUUUUUUGCUACCACAUUUGUAAAUACUUCCCCAUUACUCCUUGAAAUUUCAGUUGACAAUUUUUUUUAUUUUCCCAAUAGAUUUUAUGUAAUUUUAUUAGAAAAAUAUGCUUUUUUUGCCCUAUAUACAUUAGAAUUCCAUUAUUUAGAUACUAAAUAAACUAUCCAUUACACAUUUACUUUAUAAUUCAGUAGAUAAGAUUGAAGAAAAUAAGCCUGGCUAUGGAAAUGCUUAUUUGUUUGGGAGGAUGUUUGUCUGGAUCAAUGAUGAGCACAAUUGUCUGAGGAUGCUGAGGGACUCAUUCCAGAUGUCAAUCUGAGGUCCAGAUGAGUGGCCCUCUAAUAGGACAAAUAAGAGUCUCAGAGCCUGGCUGUAUUUGAUGAUCCUAAGUGACAACACAAUACCACUGUGAGCAUGCCUUUUAUUUCUUUUGGUGCAAGGCAUUAGCCUUCUAUCUCAUGAAGCAGUAUGAAACUUUAGAUAUACUGUAUGACCCAAAACUUGCUUCAUUUUGUUCACUUUGAAUGGAGAGUUGUACGUAGGUAUUAGUAUAUAGGAAAUAUGUUCUUAAGUAAUAAAUGAGGAAACAAAAGAAAGGUUGAAUUAAGAGGUCAAGCAACUGUGAUGAGUACUGAAAGUUUCACUAGUGUUGGCUGAAAGAAGGGAACACUGCAUACCUAUAUUAAAUAUUGACAAUGGAAUCAAUUUUAGUGUUUGUUAUUUUUCACUGUAGAAAUUUUUCAGAGACUGUGUCUUUGCUUUUCUUUCUGUCAUGUUUUUCUGAGUUAGACGGGGUGGAAUGAAGUCCUCCACUUCUAAGAAGAGCAGUGCAGUGGACAUGUCAGGCUUGCCAUCGGCCAAGAGAAGAAGGCCUUCCUGGCCCCCAAGUGCCUGUGGUUGGCAGGACCACCAGAAGAAGUGUGCCCCACUAUGGGCACCUUGCCAACGGGAGUGACCAGACGCAUUCCUUGGAAAGCUGAACAAAAUGAGUGAGAACUCCCUACCGUCUUUCUCAUCGAAACUGAGGUCCAGCACAUUGUCUGCCCCAGGGAAGGUGCAUUGGACAGGCCACGCUCUCCGUUGGUCGAGAGAAGGCCUCCCUGGCCCCCAAGUGCCUGUGAUUGGAGGGACCGCUGGAAAAGGUGUGCCCUGCUAUGGGAAUCUUACCGACAGGAGGACCCAUACGGUGCAGUGGACACACCAGGCUCGCCAUCGGCGGAGAGAAGAAGGCCUCCCUGGUCUCCGAGUGCCUGUGGUUGGCGGGACUGCUGGAAGAGGUGUUGCCCGUGACGGGCAUCUUGCUGACUGGAGCGAGAAGACGGUAAGCCAUCUCCGUAUCAGUUGUGCCGCUGGCUUUAGGCUUUCGCAAGCCUGUCCAAAAAGCCACUAAGGAAGGGUGCUGGCAGGACAUGUGGGGUUUUGAACCCAGAGGGGCCUGUCCUUUAAUGGCUCUGCACGUCCUGGGCCACGGGAAGACCCUGAGUCCUUCAGCUUGUCCCGCUGAGCCAUCUGGCCCACCAGGGUUGGCUGUGCAGGUGGCCCCGAAUGUGCUCGGAUCGAUGAUGACUCCCUCAACAGCAUUCCUUGGAAAGCUGAACAAAAUGAGUGAGAACUCCCUACCGUCUUUCUCAUCGAAACUGAGGUCCAGCACAUUGUCUACCCCAGGGAAGGUAAGCGUCAGGGACAGCAGGCUUCCCCUUGGUCACACUCCUUCAAGCACCAGCACCCACGGCCUCUGCCUAGGAGAGCCUCACGGGGGACUCAUGGUCAGGGAGGCAUUUACCACCUGAGCAGGGUUUCCAAGGCAUGCAGGUCCUGAGGGGAAUGGCCGGCGACUGGGGUCACUGGAGCAGCUGGUCCCCAAGGCCUUGGACUUGAAAGGCGUGUCUGUGGCACCAGCCUGGGGUAUCGAGGGCUGGGACCUGUGUAGGCCAGGAUGGCCCCACAGGCAUAAGCUCGUGGCAGUGUGUGUUGAGAGGCCAAGCAUGGCAAGCUUGCCUGGCCUGUGGGUGGGGGUGCAGAGGCCCAGCCCAAGGCAGCAGCGAUCCCUGGAUGAGCCCUUUCUUUCCCUGACGUAUGUGGAGCAGGCACCUACACUGGCUGGUGGGCUAAAGCAGGAAGCCAGGCUGCAGUACCUGCCAGCGUGGCAUCCUCAGCCCUACCAGGCGACAAACAAGGUGGCAAACAGUGCCAGCACUUCGUGCCCAGGGCAGAAUACAAGUUUCUGUGCUGGCCAUUUGCCUGGAUAGUAAUGGCACAGUCCAGAGAGGGCUGUGCCCUGGGAGACCGCAUGAGCCUGCUCAGCUCAAGUGUGUCAUAGCGUUCCCAGGUCUUUCAUGGGUUCUGCAGAGGCCUCAGGCCUCCUCUUGACGAUGGCAAAGUGUGGCUCCCAGGGCUGGCUUCAGGGUGCACGGGUGUGGCACGGCGGUCCCCCUCUUGAGGGCCCUCCUGGCUUCUUGACUCCUGAGGAAGGGUACCCAGUGGUUGUGUUCCUUGAGGUUUUCAGCAGGGCUCUGGUCAAAGAAGCUACCCCGGCCAGAGACCUUGUCUCCUUGUCACGGUACUGGUGAGGUGAAAGGGAUAUUCUGAGUCUCACUUGGACUCGGGCACAGUGCGUCUCAUGUCCUCUCUGGUGGGCUGCAGACUACUCUGCGAUGGCCUUGCGGUCAGGCACGGGCCUGCGAGGUCUGAGGGCAAGCCCAGUACCUCGGCCCCAUGGGCUAUUUGGAAGACAUCUGCCUCCCCGUGGGAAGGAGAUGUAUUCUCCUCUCAUUGUGACCCUGUCCUGUGGGGCUACACCCUAGCGCUCUCUGUGAGGGCCACGCUGGUGUUCCUGGCCUGUCAGAAUGGACCACGUCACCUACAGAGGGCCACAUCCUUGCAAAGGCCAAAGCCUGGGGGCAGCUGCUGUCCCUGGAGCAUCCUGACACUGAUGGGGGCGUCCGUUGGGAUAAGGGCAAUGAAGGGACUUUCUGUGAAAACAGGAACACACUCCUGAGGACGGGCAGCCCAGUGGAUGCUCGUUCCAUUGCAGCCUAGGGCCCUGGUGCCCACUGGCCCUGGACUUACUGACACCAUGGGCAAGAAAGCGCCCAUGGUUCGGUCGCAUUUGGCACCAUAUUCGGUGGAGGCUAGGACCAUGUAGCCUAGCCAUUCAGGGCAUUCAGGCAGAGUGGAGAAGAAAUGCACCUGUUGUUGUGUGGGUGCCUCGGAGGGCUCAGCUUUGGCUUCAGCCCCGUAGCUGCAGGCCAGGGUGGCUGGCCUAACUGUGGGUGGUUGUUAGGUUUUCCUUGGACCCUUGAGUUUCCAUCCUGUGCUGGGGUCCACAGUCCACAAUGACAGGGUGGCCAGUGGAGGAAGAGGAUGCAUGUGCGGGCCGAGGGCACUGCUUGGCCAGAGUGGCUUUGGGAGAGGGAAACCCUAACCAACGUUAGUGGCCCAGAGGCAUCCAACAUGGCUCCCUGGUGUGCAAGGCCACCAGUCCUGUACCAUUGUGUGGUGGGACGCCAGGGCCAGGAUCGGCGCACCAGGCCUGCUCUUGGGGGGCCAUAGGCUCAAACGGCGGAGCGGCAACACAUACCAAGUAAACCAACCUCCCAGUGACCUCAGACCCUCCAUAAACAUGAAGAGAUACAUGCUCGGGCUCCUACAGUCCCCUGAACCCACAGCGUCUUGCAUAUUUGCAGGCUGCCCCAAGGGACUGAGGAAAAGAACAGGCAGAGAGGCGCAAGUCAUGGUAAUGGAUUCCUUCUGCCCUGUGUGGAGACUGGACACCCUGGGUAAAUUGCCCAUGCCCACGGGCGAUUGCUCCACUUUUCUCAGGUGCAGUCGACAUGCCAAGCUCCCCUUCGAAUGAGAGAAGAAUGCAUCUCUGGCCCCCGACUGCCGGUGGCUAGUGUAUCUCCCAAAAGAAGUGUGCCCCACUAUGUA